AAGAAUAAAGAGGAGGGAGAUAUUUAAAGUACUGAGAGAAAAAAACCCACCAACCUAGAAUUUUGCACCCUGUGAAAUUAUCAUUCAAAAGUGAAAGAGAAAUAAAAAUUUUCUCAGAUAAACA
Long non-coding RNA from Aethalodelphis obliquidens (Pacific white-sided dolphin), 124 nucleotides. RefSeq lists it as uncharacterized. The record is from RefSeq and is a predicted model, not a curated record. NCBI's taxonomy places the organism in Eukaryota, Metazoa, Chordata, Mammalia, Artiodactyla, Delphinidae. The transcript is spliced from 4 exons.